GUUGAAUAUCACCGUGGUGGGUCACAGAAAGUCAAAACAGGAAGGAACCCUGGAGAUCAUGAGAUAGGUAAGUGCUGAGUCCAGGCCCUGGGGUGUUACAGGCACACAAAAAAUUAAUGUCCUCCCUUUAGAGGUCAUCUUGUCCAACCACCAUCUUUGUUUUUAAAGUUGUUUAAGUGUGCAAUUUACUUUAGUAUAUUCGCAAAGUUGUGCAAUCAUCUUGCCACCCAAUCCCAGAACAUCGUCGUCACCGCAGAAGAAGCCACACUCCUAGUAGCAGGCAUGUCCCGGUCCCCUUCCAACAGGCCGUGGCAACCACCAAUUAUCCUAUUUUAAAAACAGAGAAACUGAGGCCCAGAGUGGGCAGUGCCUUACUAAUGUCACAUUGCCAGCCAAUGGCAGAGCCAGGCUAGAGCCCAGGGCCUCCUGACGCCCCACCUACUACAGUCAGGCAGCAAGUCUGAGCUCUCCCUGGCACCCUCAGCAUACUCUGAGACCGACAUGAAAGAGGGGUUGGGCAAAGGCCUGUGGAAUGGAGGCCCCUGGGUAAGAGAGACCAUACAAUCUGUAACUGUGCCCUUAAAGUCCGGAGCCUGCUGUUCCCAGAAUGGAGCCAAGGGUAUUGAGGAGCAGGAGACACAUGGAGGGAUCAUUUCCUUCUGUCCCCUGCUUCUACAAAGCUGGCAUCCCUCCAGAGCUGGGAACACCCUUCCCCAGCUGACCCCAGGCUCCCUCCUCACCUCUCCAGUGCCCUCUCAAAGGCCCUGUUCAUAGUGAGGCCGCCCUGACCACCCUAUUUAAAACUGCAAACAGGCUGGGUGCAGAGGCUCAUGUUUGUAAUCCCAGCACUUUGGGGGGCCAAGGUAGGAGGAGUGCUUGAGCCCAGAAGGUUGAGGCUGCAGUGAGCCACGAUUGCAGCACUGCAUGCUAGCCUGGGUGACAGAGCAAGAUCCUGUCUCCAAGAAAACUCCCCAAAUCCCAAAAAACAAAAAUCACUGCAAAUCGGCCCUGUACCUCCCCACUGGCACUCUGUGUCCCCUUGCCCUGACCCAUGGCAUUUUCCUCCAUAGUGCUGGCCUCCACUCAGCUGACAGCCUGUAUCCGUUCCUUCUUUGCCUGGUGAUUGUCUGUCUUCCCCACCACGGCAGCUCCAUGCAGGGUCUACUAAAGAGGAGAAGGCAUGGCUCUUGCCCAAGACAAGCUGACAGUCUGAGACUGGUGUGAGGAAGCCACUUGAUCAAGUCUAAGUCUUCAUUUUAUAGUUCAAGAAACCAAGUCUCAGAGGGGGGCAGGGACUUGUCCAAGGUCACACAGCCAAUCCACAGCCCAGACAGUGCUGGAUGCAGUCUCUGGAUUCCUGGCUGGGAGUAUUUCUACAAUAUCCUGCACUUAAACAGUUCCGUUUGGCGGAAGCUCUGCUGUUCUGGAAGAGACGCCAGGCCUUUCCAGAAUCCUGUCCAAGGCUGUCUUCCAGCAUCUGCUGUCAAGGCGCACUCCUUAGGGAGCAGCUGUUGGCAAAGUGAGGGGAGAUAUUGAUUAUGUCUAGGGUUGUGGGGAGGGUGGUUUGGGGAAGUAGGGGGGAUGGGGAAGAGCAGUGGAAGUUUCUCUGAAAAACUAAAAGCGUAUUUAUUUAUUUAGACUUUUGCUUAUCUGUAUAAUUCUUCUACGGUUAUAUAAUUAGUAUUUUAUAUUUGAAAGGGAUGAACUGUUUAAUUAGACAGGGCCUGGGAAUCCAGGAUUGUCUCAGCUCUGACAGGCUGUGUGGAUGUCAUGAGAUCCCCCCUUCCCUUUCUCUGGGCCUUUCUUAGCAAUGCUGGUAAUAACGUUGCCCUGUGAGAGGUAAAUGAAUCACAGGCUCCCUGGCUGAGGAAAUAGCUGUCCAGCCUAUUCAUAAUGUUACCCUGUCUGAAAGCAGCAACCAAGGCAUGAGGUCCAGAGAAAAACCAAAGUUCAGAGAAGCCCACUGUGGCCAUGUGUACGUCCAGGGCUGUCUGGAAGGUCAGGGAGAUUGUCUGAGACCCAUGCCUGUCCCAGUCCCCACAGAGAGCCCCCUGCAUGGGUGGAGAUCAUUCUUCACCUUGGCUUCACCAAGGUCUGCAGGAAGCACCUCCCAACAAGAAUUCCUCUCUCCUUUGCUCAGCUCCCAGGCCCAUCAGACAAUAGCAUCCUAGAGCCCUGGCUCCCAGGAGGGAAGGAGAUGGAGGAGAGGAUAAAAGCAUUCCUGUCAGUAGAAAGGAGAGUGCUCUGUGUCAGUGCUAAGUGUUGUGAGGAGGCAUCAUCUUGACUGACAGCUUAGGGUCAGCCUGUCAGACCUCUCUGGGUGUCUGGAGAAAGGUCAGUGUCAGGACCUGCCAGGUGAGGGCCAGACUCCAGGCUGAGACCUGCCACCCAGUGAAGGGGCUAAAUUUCGUCAAUAUAUGUGCAGUGCUUAGCACAGCGCCUGGCAUAAAAUUAGUGGACAAUAAAAACCACUCAGUGAAAGUUCGCUGUGCCCUAACUGGAAGCAGGGUGGAGGCAUGAGUGCAGACAGGGAGAACGACUCCAUCCUGGCCCAUUCGCCCAGUACGCCCCUGUCUUUGGAAGCAGGCUCAGCUUGCACCCUCUCUUGCCUCUGACCCUCACCACCAUCUCUGUCACUCCUGGGCCCUGAGGGAGCACCUCGCUGCCUGUUCGGAGCGGUGGUGUCACUUUCUGGUCUUCCCCUGAUCUCCAGGACUGAGGGAGGGGUCAUGGCUUCCCACCCCUGAAGUAUCCCCUGCUACUGCCACCCAUCCCUCACACCCUACUAGCACUGGGCUGGACCUCAAAAGCCAGGAAUUAGAGGUAGGGCUGGGACCCCGACUGUCAGGGUUGGAAGGCCCCCAGCGAGUGCCUUGCUUGCCACUCCUCCAGGGAUGUGCAUGUCGGGGAACUGAGGCCCAAAGAGGAAGUUCCCCCUUUGCACGGUGAGUCUGGAUGUUUCUCCAACCUCCUCUGCUCUCUGGGGGUCCCCAGAGCCGCUGGGAGACCAUAUAUCCCCCCACGCCCCUGUGGCCACACCUCACCUGGUCUUCAUUUGCUCUGUGGCUCUGUCUGGGGUAACUCUCGCCAAGCAGGGUCAGCCCCCGGGGAGCAGGCCGCUAAUGAGCUUCAGAUGCUGGGGCCAGACUCGGUCUUGCUGCAGGCAGAUGCUCAGAUGCUUUGGCUGGUUGAGGCUGCCUGGCCAGUGGGGAUGGUUCGGAGAGGACACCUCCCCACCCUUCACAGGUUACCCCAUUCCUGACUUGCACUGGGCAUAGCAGGUGCCAGUGUUUAACCCCCAAAACCCCAGCCAGGGCAGCUGUUUCAAGAUCUGGAAAAGGAGAGACGAGCGGGAGGACAAAUGCAUUUCCAUCGCUUGGGAACUUCAUUCUUCUUCUCCCAGGCCUUUUCCUGGGUCCUGAGCUGGGGUUUCCACCAAGGUAGCAGCAGGGAGGGGGAAGAGAGAGGGACAAGCUGCUUUCUGACAGCCAACCACACACAGGCUGGGCUGGGCACAAAUGUCAUCUUCUCCAAAUCUCACUGGAACCCCACAGUGUUAGGACCGCCACCAAGCACUUCAUGGAGGAGGAAACGGAGGCUCAGAGCGGGAAGAUGACUUGUCCAAGGUUACACAGCCCCGGAGUGGCCAACUAGGGUUCCAGCCACCUCUGUCAGAGCCCACACUCCACCCUGCAGCAAGCUGGCAUGUUUCUGCAAGACCAGAAUGGUAUACUGUGAUCUCGAAGCUUUGUGAAUGGUGAGGGCCACACAGGUUUCAGACACUCAGGCUGCCUCUGCCGCUGACUCACUCCCUCAUCUUGACAAGGCAGCAGAUUUCACAUCUACAAAAUGGGGAUCAUCAGCGUGAGUUUAGGUGAGGUAAUGGUAACUGCCAUCAUCACAUUCUCAGCCAUGCCCAGAACACAUCCUGGGAGCCAGACCCACUGCGGGGGGACUUUCUGUUGGGGAGCUAUAAAGCAUGUGGAUUCUAAAGCUCUGCUAUCUACUAGCUGUGUGACCCUGGCCAAGUUACUGUGCCUCUCUGUGCCUGCAUUUUCUCAUCUGUGAAAUCAGGAUGAUAUUAGUUCCUGUCUCAGAGUUGUUGUGGAGCUGGGUGAGUGAUAAAGGGAUUGGAAGG
Molecule: long non-coding RNA, 4138 nt
Filed under: Callithrix jacchus (white-tufted-ear marmoset)
Lineage: Eukaryota; Metazoa; Chordata; Mammalia; Primates; Cebidae
Description: lncRNA (ENSCJAG00000074382.1)
Source: RNAcentral